GGAUCAUUGUCGAAAUCGAACGGAAGAACGACCCGCGAAUCGUAAUUGCGUAGUAGACAGAGCCCGCGAGCACCUAACGCUCGUGGGUCUCGCGUCGCGUCGGCGCGGGUGCACUCGAGACCCGCGUCGUACCGGCGGACAAACAACGUCAGCACGGAUCGUGCCAAGGAGCUGCAUGGAGAGAAUCGUCGUCCCACGCCUUUGAUAGUCCUCGACGCGGGACGGGGGACGUACGCAAUCUCUACUCGAGUCUAAACGACUCUCGGCAACGGAUAUCUCGGCUCUUGCAUCGAUGAAGAACGUAGCGAAAUGCGAUACUUGGUGUGAAUUGCAGAAUCCCGUGAACCAUCAAUUCUUUGAACGCAAGUUGCGCCCGAAGCCAUUCGGCCGAGGGCACGCCUGCCUGGGCGUCGUGAAUCCCCUUGCCCCUAGGCACCCCGCACGAGCAUCGGCGGGGAUAUAUGCUCGGGCGCAGAAUAUGGUCUCCCGUGGGAUCGGCAUGCACGGCAUGUCGAGGUGCGGUUGGCCGAAAAUCGAGCAUGGCGGUGACGGGCACCACGGCGUUCGGUGGAUCGAACGAGAUUGGCUUGCGUCGUGGGCCCGGCAUGCGGCGGGCUCCGGACUUUGAAUAUCCCCGAGUGCGAUCCCAGGUCAGGCGGGGCUACCCGCUGAGUUUAAGCAUAUCAAUAAGCGGAGGAAAAGAAACUAACGAGGAUUCCCUUAGUAGCGGC
RNAcentral lists this ribosomal RNA (731 nucleotides) under Miconia foreroi. Its description in RNAcentral is "eukaryotic LSU rRNA". The stretch from base 258 to 413 matches the Rfam family "5.8S ribosomal RNA". The record is from RNAcentral. Lineage: Eukaryota; Viridiplantae; Streptophyta; Magnoliopsida; Myrtales; Melastomataceae.